AACAAACCCCUAAAAGAUUCUUUUAUGGGUAUUUCUCUUUGUUUGAGAUUAUUUCCUGCCAUAAACAGCAGCGUGUGUUUGUAGAUGAACUAACUACAAAUCCCACAAGCCCCUGCGCAACCCGGCGUGAGCGCGAAUACGUCACUGUACGUGGGAGAGGCGGUUGUGGUGGAGAAUUUUGAACGUAGGUUAGCUAGAGGCUAGCAGGCUAACUAGACUGAUUUAGAGAGAUUAAAACACGGCUUUUAGACUAAAAACAGCCACCGCUUUCAGUGCGGUUAGUGUAGUCCCACCCACACGAGAUGUUAGUGGGGUUUAAUGUGAUUUCUGUGAAGAAAUAUAGCUAAAGUAGUUGUUAGCUGGAGUUGUUGUGGUAAGGAGCUGAUAGCUGACAGAGACACUGGGUAACGUUAGUUAAACGUUACUUGGUUGGUUGGUUAGGACAGUAAACUGAAGAAGCUACUGGUCACCAUGCUGAUCUGAUCCGAACCUCUGGGAGAUGUUGUUCUCUACCCGGCGGCCAUGGACGACUCGGACCAGGAGUUCUCUGAUCUCUGCUCUCGGCUCCUCAAGAGGGUGAAACGGAAAGAUUCUGGGGAUGAGAAGAAACCAGUCGCAGCUCCAGAUGAAGCUGCAGGUCCCUCUCAGAGCAGAGCUCCCCCCCGGAGGAAGAGGCAGAAGAACGGGCAGCUCCAGAGCCAGGCAGCGGGCAGGUCGCAGCCUGUCUGUCCGGCAGAUGGAGCCUCCUCUCUCAGCGUGAAGGAGAAGGUGCUACGGAGGAUGGAGCGCUUUAGGAGAGAGAGUCCUCCCCGGCUUCUCCAUGUGGAGGCAGAGGAACAUCGGGGGGAGACAGUAUCACCACCCAGACGAGAGCUCAAAGAAGAAACUGAAAGUGAUGAAGCACUGGCUCGGAGGCUCCAGCAGCAGCUGGAUCAUGAGGCUGAGACCCAGGCUGUGGUGGACACAGAGGGUAAAGGCUUGUUCUUGUGCCAGCUCUGCUACAAAGACCUGUCAGCUAUGAGCCCUCAGCUACGCACUCAGCAUAUCAACAGGUACUGCAGCAGGCUAGCACUAACUACACUGAAACAAUACUACUGUGGCAGAUUCUUUAAACUGGC
Molecule: long non-coding RNA, 1118 nt
Filed under: Astyanax mexicanus (Mexican tetra)
Lineage: Eukaryota; Metazoa; Chordata; Actinopteri; Characiformes; Acestrorhamphidae
Description: lncRNA (ENSAMXG00005001729.1)
Source: RNAcentral